RNAcentral lists this long non-coding RNA (554 nucleotides) under Homo sapiens (human). RNAcentral describes it as "HSALNT0345545". Lineage: Eukaryota; Metazoa; Chordata; Mammalia; Primates; Hominidae. The record is from RNAcentral.
CACUCACCAGGGGCCAGACACCAUGCUAAAUGCUUUAGUUGCAUUAUCUCCUUAACUCUUGAUACCACCACUACCCACGCCCUCCAGGGAGCUAUAAUUCUCUCUAAUAAAGGCAGAGAGCAGUGAAGUGACUUGGUCCAGUUAACACAGAUAGCAAGAAGAGGAGGGAAGAUGCUUAUCAGAGCCUUCAGGGAAAAGCAAAACUGUCCUGUAGAAGCACCAGGAAGAUGUCCAACAGUGCUGUAGCUGAAACCUGGGAGAUGGGGACUAAGCUGGGAAGCUGGACUGCCCUGAUUGAGUGUUGAUCUUCACCCUUGAUGGAGAGAGCCAUAUUCUUAGUUGGCCCUCAGCUUCAUGGCUAAACACUGUGGGUUAAGCAUCCAGGGUUUGUUAAGGAGAAAUGCUUUGUACCUGUUUUUGAUAUUUCCUUCCAUGUGAUGUGUGGCUUUCCUGAUUUGCAUUUCCUCACAGGAGGGUUUCUUGGGGUACUUUUCCACAGACUCACAUUUUCCACCACAUUUUCCAACCUAGUCUUUGUGAAUAAUAAAUGUGGA